This 295-nucleotide ribosomal RNA is filed under the name uncultured bacterium. Its description in RNAcentral is "partial 16S ribosomal RNA". It matches the Rfam family "Bacterial small subunit ribosomal RNA", at positions 334 to 621 of the family's 1533-position model. The record is from RNAcentral.
GCGCCCUACGGGGGGCAGCAGUGGGGAAUAUUGCGCAAUGGGCGAAAGCCUGACGCAGCGACGCCGCGUGAGGGAUGAAGGUCUUCGGAUCGUAAACCUCUGUCAGCAGGGAAGAACGGUCACUGUGCUAAUCAGCAGUGAAUUGACGGUACCUGCAAAGGAAGCACCGGCUAACUCCGUGCCAGCAGCCGCGGUAAUACGUAGGUGGCAAGCGUUGUCCGGAAUUACUGGGUGUAAAGGGAGCGCAGGCGGGAAGCCAAGUCAGCUGUGAAAACUACGGGCUUAACUUGUAGAC